Molecule: ribosomal RNA, 402 nt
Filed under: uncultured prokaryote
Description: bacterial SSU rRNA
Rfam family: Bacterial small subunit ribosomal RNA
Source: RNAcentral
UAGGGAAUAUUAGAAAUGGACGAAAGUCUGAUCUAGCAACACCGCGUGUGCGAAGAAGGCCUUCGGGUUGUAAAGCACUUUUUGGAAGGAUUAGGAAGGAAUGUACUUCCAGAAUAAGUCUCGGCUAACUACGUGCCAGCAGCCGCGGUAACACGUAGGAGGCAAACGUUAUCCGGAUUUACUGGGCGUAAAGCGCGUGUAGGUGGUUCUGUAAGUAGGGCGUGAAAGCUCCUGGCUCAACUGGGAGAGGCCGUUCUAAACUGCAGAGCUAGAGGAUGGUAGAGGGAGGUGGAAUUCCGGGUGUAGCGGUGGAAUGCGCAGAUAUCCGGAGGAACACCAGUGGCGAAAGCGGCCUCCUGGCUCAUAACUGACGCUCAGACGCGAAAGCUAGGGUAGCAAACG